This 253-nucleotide ribosomal RNA is filed under the name uncultured bacterium. RNAcentral describes it as "partial 16S ribosomal RNA". It matches the Rfam family "Bacterial small subunit ribosomal RNA", at positions 524 to 776 of the family's 1533-position model. The record is from RNAcentral.
UACAGAGGUGCCGAGCGUUAGGCGGAAUCACUGGGCUUAAAGCGUGUGUAGGCGGACUUCUAAGUACCUUGUGAAAUCCCACGGCUCAACCGUGGAACUGCUCGGUAUACUGGUCGUCUUGAGCCACCUAGGGGCGAGCGGAACAAGCGGUGGAGCGGUGAAAUGCGUAGAUAUCGCUUGGAACGCCAACGGUGAAAACAGCUCGCUGGGGGUGUGCUGACGCUGAGACACGAAAGCCAGGGGAGCGAACGGG